AUUCUUCAAAAGUUUCACUGACAUGAACCUCACUUGUGGGUGCCAGGUUAUGACCACAUGCAUAGUUUCAUCUUCAUCUUAUGCAACAUUUGGGGUAAAAGGAAGGUUAUGUGGUAACCAGUUUAUGACUUGAACUAUAGGCAAAGAUUGACCAGACCAAGCCCUGAGACACAGUGUUGAGAGCCAAGACAUAAAGUUGUGAAGAUUCAGACCCAGAGCCCAGCAGGGUACAGGCUGGAGGGGUGAUGUGAGUGAUCAGUAACACCAUGAAGACUCUGCUCCUGGGUCAGGAAUGCUUUUUUGUCCCUGUUUUGGAUUUUCCACCAUGAACAGCCAAUGCAGGAAGAAAUCUAAAGGUGAAGGAAAGGCAGCGUUCAGCACUGAGCAAGUCCAUGUUGGAGAAAGUUCACAGGGAAUUGGAAAUCCUUGUCUUCGUGGUUCCUGGCUCAGCAGGACCCCUGUGGGGCCUCUCCCUCUCUUGGGAAAGAGACUGCUCUAGAAGGUUUACUACACCAGUGAGGAGAAGAUGAGCGCAAGGGGGAUUGGCUGGCUGAGGGCGAAAUCAAGACUGGAGCCAAGUGCGCUGAGCUCUCACAUGAGGUCCUUUGCUCCUGUUCCCUGGAGGCAUAAGUGGCUGGGGUAGAGAGA
This 648-nucleotide long non-coding RNA is filed under the name Pan troglodytes (chimpanzee). RNAcentral describes it as "lincRNA". The record is from RNAcentral. Lineage: Eukaryota; Metazoa; Chordata; Mammalia; Primates; Hominidae.